UAUCGGAUUACUGGGCGUAAAGCGCACGCAGGCGGUUUGUUAAGUCAGAUGUGAAAUCCCCGGGCUCAACCUGGGAACUGCAUUUGAAACUGGCAAGCUAGAGUCUCGUAGAGGGGGGUAGAAUUCCAGGUGUAGCGGUGAAAUGCGUAGAGAUCUGGAGGAAUACCGGGGGCGAAGGCGGCCCCCUGGACGAAGACUGACGCUCAGGUGCGAAAGCGUGGGGAGCAAACAGGAUUAGAUACCCUGGUAGUCCACGCUGUAAACGAUGUCGAUUUGGAGGUUGUGCCCUUGAGGCGUGUCUUCCGGAGCUAACGCGUUAAAUCGACCGCCUGGGGAGUACGGCCGCAAGGUUAAAACUCAAAUGAAUUGACGGGGGCCCGCACAAGCGGUGGAGCAUGUGGUUUAAUUCGAUGCAACGCGAAAAACCUUACCUACUCUUGACAUCCAGAGAACUUUCCAGAGAUGGAUUGGUGCCUUCGGGAACUCUGAGACAGGUGCUGCAUGGCUGUCGUCAGCUCGUGUUUGUGAAAUGUUGGG
This 537-nucleotide ribosomal RNA is filed under the name Serratia sp. (in: enterobacteria). RNAcentral's name for it is "bacterial SSU rRNA". It matches the Rfam family "Bacterial small subunit ribosomal RNA", at positions 543 to 1079 of the family's 1533-position model. The record is from RNAcentral. Lineage: Bacteria; Pseudomonadati; Pseudomonadota; Gammaproteobacteria; Enterobacterales; Yersiniaceae.